RNAcentral lists this unclassified non-coding RNA (238 nucleotides) under plant metagenome. Its description in RNAcentral is "partial contains small subunit ribosomal RNA, internal transcribed spacer 1, and 5.8S ribosomal RNA". The record is from RNAcentral.
UUUCCGUAGGUGAACCUGCGGAAGGAUCAUUAUCGAGUUAGGGUCUCUGGCCCGACCUCCAACCCUGUGUCUACUAUACCAUGUUGCUUUGGCGGGCCCGCGUUUGUCGCCGCCGAGGGGUUGACCCCCCUGGGCCAGUGCUCGCCGAUAGCCCCCUCUUAAACUCUUGAUCAACCGUGAAUGCCUGAGUAAAAAAAAAUCAAGCACAAAACUUUCAACAACGGAUCUCUUGGUUCUC